This is a long non-coding RNA of Chelonia mydas (Green sea turtle), 2011 nucleotides long. RefSeq lists it as uncharacterized. Lineage: Eukaryota; Metazoa; Chordata; Testudines; Cheloniidae. The record is from RefSeq and is a predicted model, not a curated record. The transcript has 3 exons.
AGAAGAGUGAACAUAGGGGUACAGACUGACACAGUGUCUGCCUGUGUGUGUUCCUAGCAGGUAUUUCAAUCCCUCAUAAGCAGAGUGUUCGGCAUCUUCAAGGACCUGAGGAGAUGGUCCUGGGAAUUCACUGGUUUACUAAGUGUGACACUGUAUGGAAUUUUUCCAAACCUGAUGUGAUCUCCCAACUGGAACAAGGGAAGAGCCAUGGGUCCCAGACCUCCAGGGUUCAGAGGAAAGAGAGAUCCUGAGAGCUCCCUGCUCAGGAGGUGGUGCAAUGGUAUGUGACAAAGAGGAGCAGAAUUCUCAGCAGGAAGAUGCUGAGCAAGUGGAUAAACACAGAGCAUUAUCACAAAGAUCGGAAAGGAAUGUGUCAGGAGUCAUGAGCAGGGGAAAUCCUGUGAGAUUCAGCACAGACCAGAGAGAGAGCAGGGAAACCAGGCAGGGGAGAAAGUGGGUAAAUUUAUUUCCUGUUGGAGAACUCAGAAGGACCUCAGAGAAACCACAACCCAGCAGGAAAUCCUCAGGAGAAAGAGAAAAAAUACAUGCACUGAGUAUGGGAAAAACUUAUGUGACUACUCAGGUGAGAGACCCUAUGAAUGCAGUGAGUGUGGGAAAACCUCGUCCCUUUUUAAUCAUCAGAGAAUCCACACAGGGGAGAGGCCCUAUGAAUGGUCGUGAGUGUGGGAAAAGCUUCACUAACAGAUCAGCCCUUUCUCAAUAUCAGAAAAUCCACACGGGAGACAAAACCCUAUGAAUGCCGUGAGUGUGGGAAAAACUUCAGUCACAGAUCAGCACUUUUUCAACAUCAGAGUAUCCACACCGGUGAGAGACCCUAUGAAUGCAGUGAGUGUGGGAAAACGUUUUCUUGGCUCUCAGUCCAUGUUAGGCAUCAGAGAAUCUGCAAGGGAGAUCAACACCAUAAAAAACCUCUAGGGCUAUCAAUAGUUUUUUUUCUUUAACACUUUUGCUGAUUCCCACAUAGUAACCUUUAAAGCUGUUUGAACUGUUUGCAGCUCUGUUGUCCCUCAGCUUGUCCAGAUGAGGGGCCCAUUUUGGCCUUUUGCAGUUCGCCCUGUUUCAAGGUGGACCCAUUUGUCCUUCCUAUCUACUCCAUUGUCCCAUGAGUAAUUCGAGUGUGCCCUUCCUAUCGGGAGCCAGGGAGCAUCACAUUUAUACCAUUCCUCCUGUUGUAAAGUUAUUGUUAGUCACCCAUGAUACAGAUUGUAUCAUUGCCAGUUCUUCUCACGUUGCUCUGGGUUGUGCUGAAGAGCAGCUAUACUGGGAACUUUUCAAAUUAUAUUUAAAUGAAGAGGAGCAGGGGCAGGAAAAAAGUGUCAUUUCAGCCUCUGUGACGCUGGGAGGAGACGGGGUGUCUCAGAGAUUCCCUCCUUCCCCAUCACUGCAGAACUGUUACCUCCUGUCUGAGCCAGGCAGAGUUUAUCUUCGUCACAUGCUAUCCCUCCACUUCCCAAAGUGUCAUGUGAUGAAGUGUUCUCAGCUGUCUGUGCUUGGAGAUGAUGCUUUGACUUCUUUAAUCCUAUACCAGAGUCGCUAUGACUGGAGAUGAAAGUGUCAAAGACCUGAAGGGGAAUUCAAAUGGAUCCCAAACACAGUGUGAUCAUCUGGAGUUUAAAUCCCAGGUUCCGUCUAUUGGUAAAGCCGCUUCUGGCAAGGUGGCUGGUUUUUCCCCCCAUUAUGGAGAUCCUAGUAUACUGAAAGAUUUGUAAAUAACAUAACUGACUACUGAGACAGUGCUGAGUGAAGUAUGUUUGAAUGGAUGGAGAGGAGAAUCUCUUGUCCUGAUUCUAAAUAAUCAGAUGUAAAGUGUCAUGUAUUCUGUCUCUCUGUGAUACGGGUUUCUAUCUUUCCUGAAGGCUGUUUGGUCACCCAACUGGAUAUUAAUUCAGUUUGACAGGAUGUAGCCCAGAUUUAUUGGAGACUUUUAAGACAAAUGACCAUUUGCUAAAUUUAUCAUUUCUCACGUUAGCGUUCCUUUUUCCCCAUCCCU